This 70-nucleotide transfer RNA is filed under the name Stegodyphus mimosarum. It matches the Rfam family "tRNA". Rfam says of the family: Transfer RNA (tRNA) molecules are approximately 80 nucleotides in length. Their secondary structure includes four short double-helical elements and three loops (D, anti-codon, and T loops). The record is from Rfam by way of RNAcentral. Lineage: Eukaryota; Metazoa; Arthropoda; Arachnida; Araneae; Eresidae.
GCCUUCGUGGUGUAGUUAACACUCUCGACUCGUAUUCGAGAGGUCCGUGGUUCGAUUCCCGGCGAGGGCA